RNAcentral lists this long non-coding RNA (3030 nucleotides) under Vigna radiata. Its description in RNAcentral is "long non-coding RNA (VRAD_LNC003042)". The record is from RNAcentral. Lineage: Eukaryota; Viridiplantae; Streptophyta; Magnoliopsida; Fabales; Fabaceae.
AUGUAAGGGCCUGAUAAAUUAUUUAAAGUCAUUGGGCCUCUUAAUUGGGUCAGCCAAACCCAUAAGCUAAGGGUGCCUUAGCCUUAGAGGGAGACUCUUUUUCAGAAGUCAGAUCUUUCAUUUGCCAUUUUCCACUCUCUCUCUCAAAAAAAAAAAAAAACCCCAUAUUUCCCUAAAUAUUGCUCUGCCUUCUCUCUAAAAUACCACUCUGCUGAACCGUUCAAUUCCUGGUUUGAAGGUGCCUAAGCGUCCACGACAGCAAGGGCUUUACUUUGAAUCGAUUAGUUUCUUUGUCUCCUUCCGGUAAGUGAUUUUCUUGUUUCUUCCGUUAUUUUCGAAACCUAGGGUUAGGACCCUCCCUUUUCUAAUUUCUAUUAUACUCUAGCUCUAAGAGCUGAUUCCAUCACCAUUUUGGUGAUUAUAGGUUCGAUUGAUCUUGUCUCUGCGUUAGGGUACUGUUUUGAGGUCUUGUGAGUUGUUCUGUGUAACCAAAAGGUAAGGAGAGCUAGUUAUAUAUAUUUUUUAAUUGUUUAUAUGCCCUGUAUGUAGGUAUGUAUAAUGUCUGUCAGAGGUUUUUACUGUUUUGUAACAUGAAAAAGGCCAAAUACUUUAAAACCUUCUUGUGCAACAUGAGAUCAUUUGGUGUCGGUUAUUAUGGAUGCAAGCUCAUGAAAAGUUUGCUGGUGGAAAUAUUUACAACAAUGAUAUACGUCCUCAAAAUGUGGGUUAAAACGAAAAUAUAUAUAUUUUGUGUUGGAACGUGUUUCUAAUUUUAUAUGGAUAUCUUAGUCUUUUAUUAUUGGUUUGAAAGGUUUUGUUUAUGCUAAAUAAUAUUACAACAUGGGUUUGUGGGUAAUAAUACUGUUGCAGUUUGCAAUUUGUGGUUUUGGUAAUGUUGUUACUUUCCUUUCAUAAAGAGUUAUUGUCACAACUCUAUUUUUUUGUUUUUAUGUUAUAUAGCUAUUGUAGCUCUAAUUCUGUAUCUUGUUUUUCAUUUUUCACUGUUGGAUGGGGGUAUUUGUUCAUUCAGUGUAUCCUAAUUAUGGGAUCAUAUUUUUCUUUAAUGAUAUAUUGGUCCUUUGUUUAAUUUCUUACUUUUACUAAUUAUUAUUUUGUCAAUAUAUUUCUGUGUAAGAAAUUAAUGGUCCAUCAUACAUAUAUUAUAUUAAUAUAGUGAAAUAUAUAAAGAAAGUAUGAUAUAUUGUGUUAAUAUAAUAUAGAUAUAUAUCUACAUAUGAUGCAGUACGUAUGUAUCUAUCACAUUAAUAUAAUAUAGAUAUUUGUAUAUAUAUUUUAGAAAGAAAAUGAGAUAUAUAGAAGUAUGGAACUUUUUUCACCUGUUGGUCAUAUACUUAUUGAUAUAUGCAAGGUAAUUAUGGGAUAUAUUAUUAUAAUGGUGUGUGGGCUCUAAAUAUGUGCAUGUAAAUAUUAUAUGUAUAUAAAUGUGUAGGUGGGACUUAGAAUUGGAUGAAAGGGUGGAAAACAUUUAUAUGUAAAAUUUAUUUAGAGUUAUGAUGUGAAAAUACAGUAAAAUAGAAUUGGUAGAUAAAGUGGGGACCGUGGAUGAAGUUCUUUUAUAAUUAAACAUAAGAAAAUUAUUAUAUAUAUGUUAAUAGAUGAAGUUACGUGAAUUGUAGAAUGGAUGAAUAAGGUGGGAUACUUUUGUUAGAAGGAUGAGUUUCUUUUUAUAAUUAGACAUUGGUAAGUGUAAAUGAAAACUGGAUAUAAAGUGAAACCUUUAUGUUUGAUUUUAAGUAUGUUGGCAAUUAUUUGAGAAUUGUUAUGUAGAAAGUAUCUAAGUGUUGUAAGUCUUGUUGACAUAUAAAAAGGGAGUUUGUGACUUCAUUCUUUUACUUUUAACAAAUUAUAUAUUUAUAUAUGUAUGAGGGAUUAUAAUUGUUGGAUUCGUUGCAUGCUUUAUGGAAUAAAGGUGAACACAUGUCAUUCACUAGAAUUUUUGUAUGAUGUUGGAAUUUAGAGAUGAAUGGUUAUUUUAUAUUGUUUUAUAUCUUGAGUUUGGUUGAUUACUAUAUGUAAUGAAAUUAUGUAUUGAGACUACUAUAUGAGAUUCGUGAUUGGUGAAUUAAGGUAUCGUAUUGAGACUAUGUAUGAAAGGAAUUGAGGUUGUGUUAUAAGUUAUGUGAUUUGGUGAGUAAGAUAUUGUUGAGAUUAUGUUUAUAUUGAUUGUGGCAAAAAGUAUAUGAUUACAAAGUGAUGAAAGUACAAUCCAAGUGGUAAACUAAGUUCCAUCUGUGUAAAAUCUCUCGGUGAGAUUUUUAGUAUUUUAAAAUGAAAGUAGGGGCUCAGCCUUGGGAGUCAUUCUGACGCUUCAAUGGUCAAUCAAACUCACUUAGAGAGGUUGAACCAUGUGGUGAGAAGUAGCAGGAGGUCCUUAGUCUUGGGGGCUCCCAGUAUGCCUCAAGGCCCUGAACGGACUAACCUCGUGAGUGUGGCAGGGUGGGGAACCCAAGUUUCAUAAGUCACCACGGGUGCAAGACUCGCCAUAGCCUGACUAUCAUUUUAAAGUCCGGACGAGUCAAGUCUAGAAAAUAACAUGCUUAGGUUGUGUUUAUUAAACUCUUUGAUUUAAGUUAUUUAUUGCAUGUUAUAUACUUGAUGUGAUGCAUGUUUUUUUUUUGUAUAAUUAGCUCACCCUUGCUUUUUCUUGUCUGUGUUUGUGCCAUGUCUGCUUGCUUGUUGUGUGUGUUUUCCUGUUGCAAUGAUCAUCCACUUGGAUGUGAGCAGAGGAAGGAGAGGUUUCACUGGAGCAUGUCUUGGAGGAAAAAUGAAGAUGUUGCAGCUUAGACUCACUANAAUUUCUUAGUUAUAUUAUGUCAUUUUGAGAUACUAUGUUUUGUCUUUAAAAUUUUUAAAUUCUUAGCUAUUUUGAUGGAUGACUGUAAUCCGAUUUGUCUAAAUGCACUUCUGACUGCUUUCCAGUAUUAUGAUUGAUGAUGUCUUAUUAUAUAUAUUUGUUAUAUAUUUGGGACGUCACAUACGAAAUGAUAGAAUAUUUUUUCUCUUGGUGCU